AGGACGAACGCUGGCGGCGUGCUUAACACAUGCAAGUCACGGGGGCUCCGCAAGGAGUAACCGGCGAACGGGUGCGUAACACGUGAACAACCUGCCCUCGUGUGGGGGAUAGCCGGGCUAACGCCCGGGUAAUACCGCAUACGUUCCUCGAGAGGAGUCUCUUGGGGAGGAAAGCCCGUGGCAACACGGGCGCACGGGGAGGGUUCGCGGCCUAUCAGCUUGUUGGCGGGGUAAUGGCCCACAAGGCGACGACGGGUAGC
This 260-nucleotide ribosomal RNA is filed under the name uncultured soil bacterium. Its description in RNAcentral is "partial 16S ribosomal RNA". It matches the Rfam family "Bacterial small subunit ribosomal RNA", at positions 26 to 287 of the family's 1533-position model. The record is from RNAcentral.